This is a microRNA precursor of Oryza sativa Japonica Group (Japanese rice), 208 nucleotides long. It matches the Rfam family "MIR812 microRNA precursor family". The record is from Rfam. Lineage: Eukaryota; Viridiplantae; Streptophyta; Magnoliopsida; Poales; Poaceae.
AAUAAGUACAAUCAUAAGUUUCCGUAUACAACUUUAAUCGUUCGUCUUAUUUAAAAUUUUUUUAUGAUUAGUAAGUAUUUUUUUAUAUUAGAUUAUAAAAUAUGAAUAGAACUUUAUGCAUGAUUUAUGUUUUUAGAUUUUUUUUUCUAAAAAAUUAAAUAAGAUGGACGAUUAAAGUUGUGCACAGAAACUCAUGGUAGCACUUAUU